RNAcentral lists this transfer RNA (73 nucleotides) under bacterium. RNAcentral describes it as "tRNA-Lys". It matches the Rfam family "tRNA". Rfam says of the family: Transfer RNA (tRNA) molecules are approximately 80 nucleotides in length. Their secondary structure includes four short double-helical elements and three loops (D, anti-codon, and T loops). Further hydrogen bonds mediate the characteristic L-shaped molecular structure. tRNAs have two regions of fundamental functional importance: the anti-codon, which is responsible for specific mRNA codon recognition, and the 3' end, to which the tRNAs corresponding amino acid is attached (by aminoacyl-tRNA synthetases). tRNAs cope with the degeneracy of the genetic code in two manners: having more than one tRNA (with a specific anti-codon) for a particular amino acid; and 'wobble' base-pairing, i.e. permitting non-standard base-pairing at the 3rd anti-codon position. The record is from RNAcentral.
GAGCCGCUAGCUCAGUCGGUAGAGCACUUGACUUUUAAUCAAGUGGUGCCGGGUUCGAGCCCCGGGCGGCUCA